Molecule: RNA transcript, 675 nt
Organism: Drosophila grimshawi
Lineage: Eukaryota; Metazoa; Arthropoda; Insecta; Diptera; Drosophilidae
Gene name: putative carbonic anhydrase 3
Exons: 2
Source: RefSeq, a predicted model, not a curated record
AUAUUCAUUUAGAUAAGUCGGUACAGAUUUCGAAAUGAAUGGUGUACUUGGAAAUUUUGCAAGGUUAAGCCAUUUUAACUACGAUCAAAACGGAAAGGACUGGAAUGUAAACACUGGCAGACAACAAACGCCUGUUUCUCUAGUUACAGCCAAGCGGUCAGGUCAACGGCGUCAGAGUUAAUCUUCAUUAACUACAACAAGGUCUUGUCCCGUUUCCUAAAACUAACCAACAAUGGGCAUACCCUGAAGAUGUCAAUACCCUGCGCAGAAGACUGUAGUCAACCAGCGGUUUGCGGAUGUAAGCUCAAAAGUAUCUACAAGGCUGUGCAGCUUCAUUUUCAUUGGGGUUCGCCAGAGAAGAAGGGAUCUGAACAUUCGAUAAACUGCACGCGAUAUGAUGCUGAACUGCAUAUUCUUCAUCAAGGAGAAUGCUGUGUGCUCUCCCAGAUGGGUUUGCUGUACUGGCAAAGAUGAGAAAUCUAUUUUUCGAAUCUGCUAUAGAUAAUUAAUUUGAACAGUUGAAAAGUGUUUUGAUUUCUGAGCUUAAGCGUACAUUGAGAUGUGCCGAUAUACAGUCGAAGCUUUAAGAGAGAAAUAAGAAAUAAGACUAGUAUUUUUAAGAAGUGUGUGAGUGAAAUGCCAAACAAACAAUACAAUGGUGGCAGGAAAUAUAUG